Molecule: long non-coding RNA, 1409 nt
Organism: Felis catus (domestic cat)
Lineage: Eukaryota; Metazoa; Chordata; Mammalia; Carnivora; Felidae
Exons: 2
Source: RefSeq, a predicted model, not a curated record
GCAGGCUCCAGGCCCUGAGUUGUCAGCACAGAGCCCAAUGUGGGGCUCGAAUCACAAACUAUGAGAUCAGGACCUGAGCUGAAGUUGGAGGCUCAACCAAUUGAGCCAUCCAGGAGCCCUGAGUUGAGGGAAGUUCUGAGGCAACAAAGGCUCAUGCAGGAGGGACUAAUAUAGAUGGCCUGACUUCCUCACAGAGAGCUUGCUGAAGAACUGCCACUUCUUAUCUAGGUUCAAUAUUUAUUGCUGCAGCAGACAGUUUUGACAUUGUUGUUGCUGAUUGCAUGCUCAUCACAAUCAACUGGGAUGAGUUUCUGAUUGUGGUAAUUAUAACAUUACUAAGAAAACCUUACCACACUUACAAAAUUAUCAUAUUCCAAACAUCUCAAAUUUAUGCAAUAUGUUGUUAGUAUGAGAUAAUACAGAAUUUCAAGAAAACAGUAAUACCGCUAAUAGAGAAUUAAUUGUGUAUAUUUAUAGGGUAUGCUAGAAAACAUAUUUGAUAUGAAUCCUGACUCUUUAAAUACGGUUAAACUGAAUAAGUAUAAUUGGCAUAAAAAUCAAUUGUAAUCUUUUUGAAUAUAUUUUUAGCUCACGUAUAACUGUAACAAGGGUAAGAUAAAAGAAACUCAAAAUAAAGAGAUUUUUUUCCUUAUGAUCCAAUUAGAUAAAUUUUUUUCUUUUUUUCUUUUUUUUUUUUUUUGCUUUGCAACAAGAAGGUGUCCCACUGUUAGCCAGUGGGAGCUUAAAAUCUUGGCAAUGAUAGCAUGGUGCACCAAAUAAUACUAACCUAGGAGUUUUUCCUAUCUAAGCAAGAUCAAGAGAAGAUAAAUCUUUAAGAUGGAAAAAGGAUUACUUUUUAUCAUAACCUCUCAAACUGUAAAGGUUGGGAGAGAAGGGAUAGCAGAAGACUCGUCUAUACUCCCAACAAUGAGCAUGACACAGAUGCACAAAUUUGCUAUGGGUUUGCUAUUCUCCACUGCUAUGGAGGAUAACCACGUUUGAGCCAUUAUCAAUCAACAUGGUAAACUUUGGGGGCAAGACAAUUCCAGUAAUAAGAGACUGUGCAGUGGGCUGCUAAGGCCUGGUCGUAGAGAGGCAGUUGAUGGGGCUGAUGGAGUAGUGAGCUGCAAGAGAUCAACCAGAGAGUACAUCACCCCUAUCCUGGUACUGUGCAAACUAGAAAUGCCUGUGGGAGUCUUCCAGAAAAUCUGCAUUUGAGUAACUGCCUGGUGAGGAUCCUGAUGGUGAAUUACAAUAGCACUAAUCAUUUAAGAAAUGGUUUCCCCUUUUCCCCAACUCUUCUUCCAGGUCUCAGAAAAGAAAAAGAAAUUCAAAAAUAGCUUAGACAAAUGAGACUGAAAAAGAAAAAAAAGAGAAAGAAUAAAUGAUCUCACCCUUCUGCACUGUCA